This 897-nucleotide long non-coding RNA is filed under the name Setaria viridis. RNAcentral describes it as "long non-coding RNA (SVIR_LNC006333)". Lineage: Eukaryota; Viridiplantae; Streptophyta; Magnoliopsida; Poales; Poaceae. The record is from RNAcentral.
GAGGGAGUAUGAUAUUAGCUAUAUUUGUCCAGGAAAUCUUUCAUCGUAGUAUCUAUCAGUAAAUUCUAGUAUCUUUUUAUUUGUCCAAGAAAUUUUUCAUAGUACAUGCCCAUUAAUUCUGGUUACAAUAUUAGUUACAUCUGUCCAGGAAAUCUUCCAUAUCUACAUAGUAUCAAUUAAUUGUGAUAUUAAUUAUAUCUGCCCUUUAUGGUACUAUAUAUUGACCAUGAUGGGUGGUGUAGCAGUUGAUCGACACACUCAUACGCUCAUCAUCAGACACAUUCAUCAGCGGAACAUCGCAUAGGAGAGUUAGCUCUGAAUCUCUGAUCCGUCACCGAUGGCGAAGAACAUGAAGAGCACCAUCAUCGUCCAAGGACUCUUGCUGCUUUCAGUGGUUCUUCUAGCAUCAUGCGUCGUCGGUGCACGCAUAAGCGGUAACCAAACGAAUCAAACUCAUUUUCUUUCGAGGUAAAUAUAUUUGUAAACAUAGCGCUCAUUCUGAUCGAACCAUGUCGCCGCUCGGUUGAUGAUGAUCUUUGUUAGGUCAAAUGAAAGACGAUGAUAACAGCAGGAGCAGGAGCAAGACGAAGACGACCGCAAUGGCGGCAUCAAGCAACAUCACCGGCGGCGUCGACGGCGGAGUACAAGAUAUCAGUGAGUGUGCUCACAUGGAGGUGCCCCCGUAUAUGUUCUGCUGCAAGAAGCACGCGUCGUGCUGGCAACACUACAGUAUAUGCCAGGCGAAAUGCGUCUAGGCUCUACCAGUGACAGAGGACAAGACGAAGACGAACUGCAUGGGGAUCGGAGGAAAGAGUCCAAGCUUUCUCAUGUUUGCAGAUGCAGAUCGUAGAAAUGUUAUUAUAUGCAUUUUUUUUUUACAAAGACGAUGUGCAAUGU